CAGCCGUAAACUAUGCGCGUUAGGUGUACUGGUGACCACGAGUCACCGGGGUGCCGAAGGGAAACCGUGAAACGUGCCGCCUGGGAAGUACGGUCGCAAGGCUGAAACUUAAAGGAAUUGCGGGGAGCACCACAACGGGUGGAGCCUGCGGUUUAAUUGGACUCAACGCCGGAAAUCUCACCGGAUAGGACAGACAUAUGAUAGUCGGGCUGAAGACUCUACUUGAUGAUCUGAGAGGUGGUGCAUGGCGUCAGUGACU
This 259-nucleotide ribosomal RNA is filed under the name uncultured archaeon. RNAcentral describes it as "partial 16S ribosomal RNA". It matches the Rfam family "Archaeal small subunit ribosomal RNA", at positions 748 to 1008 of the family's 1478-position model. The record is from RNAcentral.